This 253-nucleotide ribosomal RNA is filed under the name uncultured bacterium. RNAcentral's name for it is "partial 16S ribosomal RNA". It matches the Rfam family "Bacterial small subunit ribosomal RNA", at positions 524 to 776 of the family's 1533-position model. The record is from RNAcentral.
GACGUAGGGGGCGAGCGUUGUCCGGAUUUACUGGGCGUAAAGGGCGUGUAGGCGGUUUAGCAAGUCAGAUGUGGAAGCCCUGGGCUCAACCCAGGGAGUGCAUCUGAUACUGCUAAACUAGAGGACAGGAGAGGAGGGUGGAACUUCCGGUGUAGCGGUGAAAUGCGUAGAUAUCGGAAGGAACGCCGAUGACGAAGGUAGCCCUCUGGACUGUUCCUGACGCUGAGGCGCGAAAGCUAGGGGAGCGAACGGG